AGUGAACGCUGGCGGUAGGCCUAACACAUGCAAGUCGAACGGCAGCACAGUAAGAGCUUGCUCUUACGGGUGGCGAGUGGCGGACGGGUGAGGAAUACAUCGGAAUCUACUUUUUCGUGGGGGAUAACGUAGGGAAACUUACGCUAAUACCGCAUACGACCUACGGGUGAAAGCAGGGGAUCUUCGGACCUUGCGCGAUUGAAUGAGCCGAUGUCGGAUUAGCUAGUUGGCGGGGUAAAGGCCCACCAAGGCGACGAUCCGUAGCUGGUCUGAGAGGAUGGAUCACCCACACUGAAACGAGGACACGGUCAAAACCCUAAGGGAGGGCACCAGUGGGAAUAUUGGGAAAAGGGGCGAAGCCUUGUCCAGGCCUACCGGCGUGGGGAAGAAGGCCCUCGGGUUGGUAAGCCCCUUUGUUGGGAAAGAAAAAGCGCCGGUUUAAACCCCGGUUGUCUGACGGGUACCAAAGAAUAAGCACCGGCUAACUUCGUG
This 492-nucleotide ribosomal RNA is filed under the name uncultured bacterium. Its description in RNAcentral is "partial 16S ribosomal RNA". It matches the Rfam family "Bacterial small subunit ribosomal RNA", at positions 29 to 507 of the family's 1533-position model. The record is from RNAcentral.